GAUGAACGCUAGCGAUAGGCCUAACACAUGCAAGUCGAGGGGCAUCACAUGAAGUAGCAAUACGGAUGGUGGCGACCGGCGCACGGGUGAGUAACACGUAUGCAACCUGCCUUCAACAAGGGGAUAACCCGUUGAAAGACGGACUAAUACCCUAUAACACAGGGGUCCCGCAUGGGAAUAUUUGUUAAAGGACAACCGGUUGAAGAUGGGCAUGCGUUCCAUUAGCUAGUUGGCGGGGUAACGGCCCACCAAGGCAACGAUGGAUAGGGGAACUGAGAGGUUUAUCCCCCACACUGGUACUGAGACACGGACCAGACUCCUACGGGAGGCAGCAGUGAGGAAUAUUGGUCAAUGGACGCAAGUCUGAACCAGCCACGUCGCGUGAAGGAAGACGGCCCUACGGGUUGUAAACUUCUUUUAUACGGGAAUAAAGUGCCCCACGCGUGGGGUUUUGCAUGUACCGUAUGAAUAAGGAUCGGCUAACUCCGUGCCAGCAGCCGCGGUAAUUACUGACUCA
This 517-nucleotide ribosomal RNA is filed under the name uncultured bacterium. RNAcentral describes it as "bacterial SSU rRNA". It matches the Rfam family "Bacterial small subunit ribosomal RNA", at positions 28 to 536 of the family's 1533-position model. The record is from RNAcentral.